RNAcentral lists this non-coding RNA (28 nucleotides) under Rattus norvegicus (Norway rat). Lineage: Eukaryota; Metazoa; Chordata; Mammalia; Rodentia; Muridae. The record is from RNAcentral.
UCCUGUGACAUGGGGAAUCUUUCACCAC